CAGCGAAAGCAAGGGGUUUGUCUUAUGGGUCGAGCUCGUCGCACCGGGCUUGCCUAGUACGGGUUACAUCUCUUAUGUGAUUUGCGAGCUAUUGCAUAGGAGCGGGGGUUUUACCCUGUGCGCACCCAAAAGGAUAGUGGCUGCGGAUUUCCCUUGUCAUAAAAAAAAAAAAAAAAAAAAACACAACCACCAAUAUCACUAAUAAUCAUAUUGCAAAAUUGAUAUUGCGGGAAGUUGUGCGCUUAAAUUAGUAUACCUGCCUUCUUGUCAAGUUAUGAUACUACAGUUGAUGAUUUUUUGCCUUAUUUUCGAUAGAUUAAUAAUAAUUGGUAAUAUUGCAUUUCAAUUAAGAAAAACCAAAGAAUUAGGGGUUAGUUUGGUCUGUGUGACCUCCUUUACCAAUCUCCUAUAGAGGUUAGGUGGUCAAUACACCGGUCUGAGUCCCUCUUAAUAAAAUGAGGUAUGGGAACCAGCCUCUUCGAAGAUUGCUGGUAUCACUGGACCAAUUUGAUGAAUUUUCCUAUCAAGUUCAAGGUGUGCCACAACACAAGAAGCAAGGUUGGCGCAGCAACUAAGUCAUCCCCAGUCACAAGCACAUAUAAGACGGAUCUCAUUUUGGGCAGCUAUUGUCCAAAACUAAAGCUAAAAGUUCCAAUUGACAAAGUCUCAAUUGCCAAUAUAGCUUAGGUCAUUAAAGUCAUACAACAGGAAAGUAUACAAAUGAACAAAUUCAAGAAGAGAUCCACAUACUACCAGACACCUCUUAAUAUCAGUAAUCAACAAGCAAGAGUUUUGCAGAGGCUAAAAUGUGCAAAGCUUCACCGAGGUGUCUAGUAGCAGCGAAAGCCCAAAAGGCUGGGCUUCCCCUUUUACCAGACACACCCUUUCGACCAAACACAUGACACAACCUAACACACAAAAUCCACUCAACCAUGAUAAGAAAAACAUCUCUUUAUAUUCUUGAUAAUGCUUUUUUAGGGGAAAAGAACUACAAUCAACUUAAAUACCUUUGCGCUUAACUCACAUCCAUACACCUUCUCCAAAAGAAUAAGUUAUAUCUAUCUAGUCAAAAUUAAAGCCUUUAGCACAGAUCGUUCUAUGGAUCUAAAAUUAACUCAUAAUCCAUGUUUUCAAGUAUACAAAUAUAUAUAUAUAUAUAUAUAUAUAUAUAUAGAUCUAAACCAACUCAUAAUCCAUACUUUUAUGAACACAAAUAUACAUAGAUCUAAAACCAACUCAUAAUCAUGCUUUUAAAGCACACAAAUAUACAUAGAUCUAACCGAAUUAUUGAAAAUUUACAAUUAUAGCCCUGAACGAUCUAACCGAAAUUCAUGUUUUCAGCUUAGGUACAUCUAUAUCUCUCAAAAAACUGUAAAUUCAUUAUUUUCACACAAAAAAUGCAUAGAUCUAAACUAAAAUCCAGUAUUUCAACUACAUAAAACCAAACCAAACCAAAUAAAGCAUCAAUUACAUCAAAAAGCUACCUGAUAGUCGGAUAAUUCAAAUUCGGAAAUAAACCAAAACGGUCAACGCCUAAAAAGCUGCACCAAUUCUCGCAAAGCUGUAUAAAAAAUCUACGAGUCAAAACCUAAAAGCUGUAUAUACACACACCCAAAAAGAAUAAAAAAGCAAAACUAAAAGUGAGAAGAGAAUUCGGCGUACCUGAUUUAUAAGUACAGAGACGAAACGGUAAAGAGAAGAGUUGUGGAAAUUUCGCAAUACGCGUUGUAGAAAUAUGGAGAAGAUUGGGUUUUGUUUUUAUAUGGACGAUAGCGUCAAUUUACCUAAUUGGCCGUUUGAUUUUAAUUAUACCACGUGUGC
RNAcentral lists this long non-coding RNA (1821 nucleotides) under Solanum tuberosum (potato). Its description in RNAcentral is "long non-coding RNA (STUB_LNC009269)". Lineage: Eukaryota; Viridiplantae; Streptophyta; Magnoliopsida; Solanales; Solanaceae. The record is from RNAcentral.